This 171-nucleotide ribosomal RNA is filed under the name Salmonella enterica subsp. enterica serovar Montevideo str. ATCC BAA710. RNAcentral's name for it is "partial 23S ribosomal RNA". It matches the Rfam family "Bacterial large subunit ribosomal RNA", at positions 2762 to 2925 of the family's 2925-position model. The record is from RNAcentral. Lineage: Bacteria; Pseudomonadati; Pseudomonadota; Gammaproteobacteria; Enterobacterales; Enterobacteriaceae.
AGAUAAGUGCUGAAAGCAUCUAAGCACGAAACUUGCCCCGAGAUGAGUUCUCCCUGAGACUUUAGGUCUCCUGAAGGAACGUUGAAGACGACGACGUUGAUAGGCCGGGUGUGUAAGCGCAGCGAUGCGUUGAGCUAACCGGUACUAAUGAACCGUGAGGCUUAACCUUAC